This 468-nucleotide ribosomal RNA is filed under the name uncultured bacterium. RNAcentral describes it as "partial 16S ribosomal RNA". It matches the Rfam family "Bacterial small subunit ribosomal RNA", at positions 28 to 507 of the family's 1533-position model. The record is from RNAcentral.
GACGAACGCUGGCGGCGUGCUUAACACAUGCAAGUCGAACGGAAAGGCCCCAGCUUGCUGGAGUACUCGAGUGGCGAACGGGUGAGUAACACGUGGGUGAUCUGCCCUGCACUUCGGGAUAAGCUUGGGAAACUGGGUCUAAUACCGGAUAGGACCGCACUCUGGUGUGUGUGGUGGAAAGGUUUUUCUGGUGUGGGAUGAGCUCGCGGCCUAUCAGUUUGUUGGUGGGGUAAUGGCCUACCAAGACGGCGACGGGUAGCCGGCCUGAGAGGGUGGACGGUCACAUUGGGACUGGGAUACAGCCCAGACUCCUACGGGAGGGAGCAGUGGGGGAGAUUGCAAAAUGGGGGAGACCCUGAUGCAGCGACGCCGCGUGGGGGAUGAAGGCCUUCGGGUUGUAAACUCCUUUCGCUAGGGACGAAGCUUUUUGUGACGGUACCUGGAGAAGAAGCACCGGCUAACUACGUG